UGGGGAAUAUUGCACAAUGGGCGCAAGCCUGAUGCAGCCAUGCCGCGUGUAUGAAGAAGGCCUUCGGGUUGUAAAGUACUUUCAGCGGGGAGGAAGGUGUUGAGGUUAAUAACCUCAGCAAUUGACGUUACCCGCAGAAGAAGCACCGGCUAACUCCGUGCCAGCAGCCGCGGUAAUACGGAGGGUGCAAGCGUUAAUCGGAAUUACUGGGCGUAAAGCGCACGCAGGCGGUCUGUCAAGUCGGAUGUGAAAUCCCCGGGCUCAACCUGGGAACUGCAUUCGAAACUGGCAGGCUAGAGUCUUGUAGAGGGGGGUAGAAUUCCAGGUGUAGCGGUGAAAUGCGUAGAGAUCUGGAGGAAUACCGGUGGCGAAGGCGGCCCCCUGGACAAAGACUGACGCUCGGGUGCGAAAGCGUGGGGAGCAAACA
Molecule: ribosomal RNA, 427 nt
Filed under: uncultured bacterium
Lineage: Bacteria
Description: partial 16S ribosomal RNA
Rfam family: Bacterial small subunit ribosomal RNA
Source: RNAcentral